CCGACGGUGAGGGGUGAAAGCUGGGGGCACGAACCGGAUUAGAUACCCGGGUAGUCCCAGCCGUAAACGAUGCCCGCUAGGUGUCUGGGAUGGUGCGACCGUUUCAGGUGCCGCAGGGAAGCCGUGAAGCGAGCCACCUGGGAAGUACGGCCGCAAGGCUGAAACUUAAAGGAAUUGGCGGGGGAGCACUACAACGGGUGGAGCCUGCGGUUUAAUUGGACUCAACGCCGGAAAACUCACCUGGGGC
This 247-nucleotide ribosomal RNA is filed under the name uncultured archaeon. Its description in RNAcentral is "partial 16S ribosomal RNA". It matches the Rfam family "Archaeal small subunit ribosomal RNA", at positions 691 to 937 of the family's 1478-position model. The record is from RNAcentral.